GACCAUGUAGCCUGAUGGAUAAGGCAUCUGAGUUCAGCUCAGAAGACUGCAGGUUUCAGUCCCUUCUUGGUUG
RNAcentral lists this transfer RNA (73 nucleotides) under Scleropages formosus (Asian bonytongue). It matches the Rfam family "tRNA". Rfam says of the family: Transfer RNA (tRNA) molecules are approximately 80 nucleotides in length. Their secondary structure includes four short double-helical elements and three loops (D, anti-codon, and T loops). The record is from Rfam by way of RNAcentral. Lineage: Eukaryota; Metazoa; Chordata; Actinopteri; Osteoglossiformes; Osteoglossidae.